Long non-coding RNA from Oncorhynchus gorbuscha (pink salmon), 1580 nucleotides. RefSeq lists it as uncharacterized. The record is from RefSeq and is a predicted model, not a curated record. NCBI's taxonomy places the organism in Eukaryota, Metazoa, Chordata, Actinopteri, Salmoniformes, Salmonidae. The transcript is spliced from 2 exons.
UGCCAGCUUGUCAACAUCACAGUACCAUGACAAGACAUGGGUUGUGGAAUAUCAGUUUAGAAGCUAAAUACUGUGUUUCUAUUUGCUAGAGACUGUUUUAAUCUAGAGACUGUGUUUCUAUUGGCUAGAAACCGUGGUAUGCCAGUUUAGACUGUGGAUCUAUUGUUGUGCUUGCCCUGAGACCUUGGAUUGGCUGUGGCCAUUUGAUGACAGGAGAGGAGAGCUGAGAGGAGAGAGAGAGAGACUACAGUGUUUCUGUCUGGUCCACAUCACACUGCCCUGAGACUGAUGAUGCUGCUGCCUACUGUACUGUGGAGACAUAACUGCUACAUGACUUAAAUGUAAAUGUCUGGUAUAGAAAUGGGGAGGUUUUAAACUGCCAUUUAAACCUCUUUACUGAAACAACAAGAGGGAUGUUUUCUAGAAGAUGGGGAGGUUUUAACUGUCAUUUAAACCUCUUUACUGAAACAACAAGAGGGAUGUUUUAACUGUCAUUUAAAUCUCUUUACUGAAACAACAAGAGGGAUGUUUUCUAGAAGAUGGGGAGGUUUUUAACUGUCAUUUAAAUCUCUUUACUGAAACAACAAGAGGGGGAGGUUUUAACUGUCAUUUAAAUCUCUUUACUGAAACAACAAGAGGGAUGUUUUCUAGAAGAUGGGGAGGUUUUUAACUGUCAUUUAAAAUCUCUUUACUGAAACAACAAGAGGGGGAGGUUUUAACUGUCAUUUAAAUCUCUUUACUGAAACAAGAGGGAUGUUUUCUAGAAGAUGAGGUUUUAAACUGUCAUUUAAACCUCUUUACUGAAACUAGAGGGAUGUUUUAACUGUCAUUUAAAUCUCUUUACUGAAACAACAAGAGGGGGAGGUUUUAACUGUCAUUUAAAUCUCUUUACUGAAACAACAAGAGGGAUGUUUUCUAGAAGAUGAGGAGGUUUUUAACUGUCAUUUAAAUCUCUUUACUGAAACAACAAGAGGGGGAGGUUUUAACUGUCAUUUAAAACUCUUUACUGAAACAAGAGGGAUGUUUUCUAGAAGAUGGGGAGGUUUUAACUGUCAUUUAAACCUCUUUACUGAAACAACAAGAUGGGGAGGUUUUAACUGUCAUUUAAAUCUCUUUACUGAAACAAGAGAAGAUGUUCUAAACUGUCAUUUGUUUACCAGGCUAUAUAAUUGCAUUAGUUGCAAUCGAGUGUUGAGACAUGAACGGUGCAUGUUGUAAAUGUGCAUAUCAGAUUAGGCACUUCCUGUGUCUCCAGGUGAUGACAUCAGACCUACAGACAGCACAGUUCUGAUGUCACAGGGAGAGGGGUGAAGUCCAGUUUACCUCCAUCUAUAUGGGACCUCUGGACAGUAAGGAAAGGGAAUAACUGGAAAAAUAUCAAAUCAAAUCCUCACUCUGGCUCAGCAUUAUCAAGGUACAUUAUUAUUGAGGUACAUUAUCGAACAGUUGAGUGUUUACUAAAUAGGGAUCAUUACAUGAUCUUGAAUGUUGGUGCAGCAGCUACUGAGUUAAGAGUUAGGGCUACUGUACUGGCCUUCCGUCUCCAGCUCAUCUGUCUCUGUCCAUCUGUCUCUGUCCAU